Phascolarctos cinereus (koala) is the source of this 820-nucleotide non-coding RNA. Lineage: Eukaryota; Metazoa; Chordata; Mammalia; Diprotodontia; Phascolarctidae. The record is from RefSeq and is a predicted model, not a curated record.
GUCAUGGAGUCCAAAGCCUUCAUUUUGUAGUUGGAGAAACCAGUCUUGAGUCACUAAAUAUCUUGGCCAAGGCUGAACAGGUAGAAAUGUCAGAGGUAGGACCUGAAUCCAGGUCCCCUAAUUCCACAGCCAAGAUCCCUUCUACUAUACCAUGCUGCAUCUUUAAUGGACUUGGAGAGUCAUCUUCACUACUGAGAGGUAUGCUUUGGACUACAUGUUUCUUCUGACUCUCAAGGUCUGUGAUCUUUGUCUUCCAAGCACAAGAACCAAAAAAAAAACAACAAAAGAUGAAACUGAAUACUAGUUAAUUAUAAUGAACAAACUUGGCCCUGUAGAAGAGGAAGAAGAGGAACCUUUUGAUUGGAAGUUGAGCCUGAACUGAGAAUCCUUACAAGAGGCACUAACCAGAUGAUUUGACCCCCUCCAGCCUGGCUGGUUCUAAUGAGGAGAGUAUGCAGUGAGACUUUGGGUGGACUACCAGGCUAGACUUCAACCUUGUAAACUUCAGAAGAUCCAGAGACCUCAUCUAGGAGCUGGAAUCCAAGUGUUUAUAUGAACUGCUGAGCCAGAGAAGAACAGAGUACCUAGAGAUCUGCUUGGCACAGCCAAGCAUGGAUUGGAGGCAGCCAAGAGAAAAAUAUAGCGACUCAUCCAUCAGCUACACUACACACAGAAGUAAAAUGUGACGGGGGCAAAUGCUUUGUAACAUCUGCUUUAAGAUUGUGCCCAUUCUCUCAAGGGACUGAAGUGAUAUAACCCUAAGCACUGAGGGAACGAUCUGUAACUUCUGUUCUUGCUAUAUGUUCUCAUUAAAUAUCCC